AGACAGACAGGGGGGGUCACUGGAGGUCCCCAUUGGGGGGCACCCUCAGAACCCCCCAGCACACCCAGGUGGAUCCCAGUAUGAACCAGUACAGCCCAGCAUAACGCAGUACGGCUCAGUAUAGCCCAGUACAGCCCAGUACAACCGUGUAUAAACCAGUAUAACCCACUACAGGCCAGUAUAGCCCAGUACAACCGUGUAUAAACCAGUAUAGGUUUGGGGGCUCCUCAGGGGGGCUUUGGGAAGGGCCCAGGUGACAUUUUGGGGUUCCCCAGGUGAGUUUAGGGGUGCCCAGGUGAUAUUUGAGCUCUCCAGGCGACGUUUUGGGGUCCCAGGGAUGGAUUUUGGGGUCCCCAGGUGUAUUUUGGGGUCCCCAGGUGUAUUAUGGGAUGCCCAGGUGACACUUCGGGGUCCCCAGGUGAUAUUCUGGGAUGCCCAGGUGUAUUAUGGGAUGGCCAGGUGGCAUUUUAGGGUCCCCAGGUGCAUUAUGGGAUGCCCAGAUGCAUUAUGGGAUGCCCAGGUGAUAUUUCGGGGUCCCCAGGUGUAUUAUGGGAUGGCCAGGUGGCAUUUUAGGGUCCCCAGGUGCAUUAUGGGAUGCCCAGAUGCAUUAUGGGAUGCCCAGGUGAUAUUUCGGGGUCCCCAGGUGUAUUAUGGGAUGGCCAGGUGGCAUUUUAGGGUCCCCAGGUGCAUUAUGGGAUGGCCAGGUGGCAUUUUGGGGUCCCCAGGUGCAUUAUGGGAUGCCCAGAUGCAUUAUGGGAUGGCCAGGUGCAUUUCGGGGUCCCAGGGAUGGAUUUCGGGUUGCCCAGGUGUAUUAUGGGAUGCCCAGGUGA
Molecule: long non-coding RNA, 830 nt
Filed under: Ficedula albicollis (Collared flycatcher)
Lineage: Eukaryota; Metazoa; Chordata; Aves; Passeriformes; Muscicapidae
Description: lncRNA (ENSFALG00000027273.1)
Source: RNAcentral